UCUCUUAAGGGGUGUGUAAAACCCAUAAAAACAAUAAUGUGCUGGAGGGAACAGUAAUUUUAUUGUUAGCGUAUGGUAAAUCUUCGUAUGUUUUUCAAUUUAUUUGUACUGAAUUCUUGAUGUUUCCAUGUUGGAGAUAUAUGAAGUUUAACCCUGCAAAAUAUUAUGCAUGUGGUAAAUAUUAUAACAGAACUAGGAUAUUUUGGCUGAUUGGCUUAUCCCUCGGAGAAAUGAAUACUACAAAGCUCCAUAUCUAUGUUGUUAAUCAAGUCGCAAUGCAUCUAAUUAAAU
RNAcentral lists this long non-coding RNA (291 nucleotides) under Nicotiana benthamiana. RNAcentral describes it as "long non-coding RNA (NBEN_LNC012264)". The record is from RNAcentral. Lineage: Eukaryota; Viridiplantae; Streptophyta; Magnoliopsida; Solanales; Solanaceae.